This 11053-nucleotide long non-coding RNA is filed under the name Amborella trichopoda. Its description in RNAcentral is "long non-coding RNA (ATRI_LNC002733)". The record is from RNAcentral. Lineage: Eukaryota; Viridiplantae; Streptophyta; Magnoliopsida; Amborellales; Amborellaceae.
UGAGAGAGAGAGAGAGAGAGAGAGAGAGCCAUAAACGGUUAGAAUGCGGGUGUCGGCCAACUAUAGUAAAUUUUCUCCUAAAAUCAUUAGUGAGAAUCAUGCGGUCAUGCAAAGUUGUCGUAUCGUUGCUCCUUUUGCACAGGGUGUGAAGCAACAGAUGAGGGGGCCUCAAUGGGCGACAAAGGGGGGGCCAAUGCUUUUUCAUCCUUUGAUGCUUGGAGUAUCAUGUGUCUUGUCCAGCAAUACUAAUGCAAAUUCAACUGCUUUAUCUCUUUCUCUCUCUCUCUCUUGAUAAGAAUCAUUUCCCACUCAUUUGUUAUCCACUAGUGCAUGUGUGCAUAGAAGAACUUAGAAGAACCAUGGUCAAAAAUGUUGCAACAUCUUUUGACUCCUUUUAGGGUAUCCAUAACCAUUAGCCCUCCACAACAUUGAAGAGAAAACUAAUCAUCUAGAGACAUAAGAGGGACAUGAAGAUUAAAAACUACUUUUAUGGUACACGUACACAUCAUUUUGAUGAGAACCAUUUUCACAAUAAUUAUCCACAAAAAAGAAAAAAAAAAAAACCAUCUUGCACAUUCUUGUACACGUGAAGCGGGGCCGUUGAACUAUCCAAAAAAAAAAAAACCUGGAAAAAAAAGAUGAAAAAAAGAAAAAAGAACGUAAGGCAUCGCGGUUCCAAAAAAUAAAUGACUUGGUGACAAGCCCUUGUGUACCCAAUACCCUUAGCCCUUAUGGCCAAGUAUUGAAUCAAAUGUCAAGGUAAGUGAUAUAUUAGAGGGAGUAGGAAGGGUAAUAAAUAUAAGAUAAAGAGUCCUACAAAGAACUUCUUAAUAACCUUCAACAGCUCUAUUACAGCCCCUUAUAAGAUGGACCUUGUGGUAUGGGAGUACUCUCUCAGUUAACUUCUCCCUCGGGAAAUGAGGAUGGGGCAUCAGUGGUUGGAGAGAGGAUGUGUUGACGAAUAUUGUGGGUUGCAAGAUAUUGAGUUUUUUAUUUUAUAAGAAUAUAGUUGUAAUGAGCUUUGUUUACUAAAAAACAAGAAUUGUAAUUCUAUAAAUCUCUAAUAAAUCAGAGUAAUCUCCAUAAAUGAGAUAUUGAUUUACCUUCCGUAGACGUAAGCACAAUUGUCAUACCACGUGUACGUCUUAUUGAUCUUUUUCUCUUUCUCCCUCUCGUCACCAUUUAUCUUAUUGCAAAUUCUACAUGAUGCUUCAACAUAAUGUCUCACCCUCCACUCCCACCGUCAACAUAUCAAAAGAAAAAAAAGUGGGGAAUCCUCCCAUCACUCCCUACUUUUGAUCAAAUAGUUGUUCACAUAGCAGUCGCUCCCAUCACUCCUAAAAGUAGGGAAUCCAGUGGAUAAGAACAAUUGUAGGAACAUUAUGAUUGCCAUGACUGCAGAUAUAGAAGAAGGCCUUCGAAGAGAAUGGAAACUCAGUCCAUACACUUAAAGCAAAGAUUCUAGCAACAAUCAUAUCAAGAGUGAAGGUUUGGAAGAAGCACCGGGAGGAGUACGGUAACUCAGACUUCCUUACCCACUUCAAAACUGUAGUCAAAUCUUCCCUACUAUUGCGAACAAGGUCAGAUAGAUGGGAGGCAUUGCCGGUGAUUCGAUAAAGCUAAACUUGAUAGGAUCAACCAACAUAAUCCCGAAGUAAUACCAGACAUGAUUAGGUUGCUAAUCGUGAAAAAGACUAGAAAAGUGUCAUCUAAUCGACAAAAUGGAGCAGCAUAUACCCGGCAAAUUUUAUCCUAUCGUAAACAAAAUUACAUUAUUAUUUAAAACAAAUACACUCGUGCAAAAUUUAGAUGUAACACCAAUAUGCGAUAAGAUAAUAGGGAAUAGAUUUACGUGGGCUGGCCACGUGUGGUCCACACCCAGUAUAGCACAUGGUAGGAGGUGCGAGUUUUUUUUAAGUAGAAGGCUAAAAAAGGGUCAGGGAUAUGCCCAAAAGAACAUAGUUGGAAGUAGUAAGGAAAUAUAUGGGAACUCAUGGCUUCAGUGAGAGUAUGAUCAUUAAUAGAACAGAAAGAUGUAUUAGGAUUUAUGUAGGCGACCCCAACUAGUUGAAAAAAAGCUUUGAUGAUGAUGACAAGGCAAAAUUAAAUUAACUAAAUACAUUAAAUCUCCUUCAAUCGUGUUUAAGGGAAAAAAUACUCCACAAUGCGGUCGAGGAAGGUAUCUCUACGGCAAACUAGCACGAGGUAACUAAGAGAGAACUGUCGGUGAUCACUCUAAUUUUGUAUGGUUCUUGACAAUAUGGUGAUACAUAAAAGCAUGUAUGAUAAGAUUGUCUAUUUUUUUAUAAGAAGGACAUAAUUCCUAUUAGCUGUUAGAUUUGAAAUCGUAAGGUUGGAGAUAAAGCUCAAAAUUUAGUUAGUUUUUUUUUUGAAUUUUCUUUAUGUCAUAUGUCAUUAUCAUUAUCAUCCGAGCCUUAUCCCAACUAAAUAUGGUAUUACAUGAAUCUUGUUUUAACAUCUUGCUCUAUCAAUGAUUAUACCUUCAAUAAAUCCAUCAAUAGCCAUAUCUUUUCUCGCUACUUCUAUCUAUGUCUUUUUGAGCAUUCGUUUUACCUUUUUAGAGCCUUUUACUUAAAUCAAACCACAAACUACACCUCCUAAGUGGUGUUGUAUUAAUUUAUAUUUUUUUGAACCUUCACUUUACCCUUUUAGAUCCUUACAUUUGAACGAAACCACACCUCCUAAAUGAUGUUCUAUUUAGCCCAUGCUGCUGCAACUUAUAUCACAUGUCCAGCAGCCUACUUUCACAUCUGGUGGUCAAGAGUGGUAGUGACUUCCAUCAAAUAUUAAUGGUCUUGUACUAUACAAUGCAUGCACAUCAAUUUUAUCUAAUCAACCAAGAUAUAACUACUUUCAUGCCACUCUUACUCUUAAUUUGAGAACAAUUUUGGUGAGAAAAUAGACUAAAGCUGCUUUUUGGCGCACGUACUCAGUCUGAUAGGAACCAGUAAGCACACGUACAGAGAGACACACGCGCAGAGAGAGAGAGAUGGUGGUGGGGGAGGGGCAUCCAUGUGGUGGGGUUUAGGAAUAAAAGUUAGAGAGGAAGGGGGGGGGGUAUCUUUGAAAGUGGGGUUUAAAACAGGAAUGAAAGAUGGCGUUAAAGCAAAUCAUAAAUAAAGAUGAGACGGCACCUAAGUAGUGAUGUUCCAUAUGGAUCUAAUAAAGCACUAAAGCACAAAUCACAUAAAUAGUAAAAGGGAAACAGACAUUUUGUGUGAGAGAGAAGCAAGCAGUAUUGAGGGGUGCUCUUUUACUGGGGUUAAAAGCAAAUUUAAGAUUGCAUUUAAGGUAAAGAUAAAAGUGAAGAACAAAGUAUUGAGGUGUAGAGAGAUAGAGGGCUAAAAAAAUACAGAAGCAAGGGAUCCCUGAUCAAAGUAUUUAACGAAGUCCAAAGCAUAAUAAAUCGUUAAUAACAAUGUGUUUAGCUUAAGCUGAUGCCAAAUGUGGAGGUAGUUAUAAACCCACCUAAAUUUAGAGGGAGCCAUAAGCACAUUUAGAGAGAGAAUCAGUACAGUGCCCAAAGGAGUAGCUACACACAUUUAGAGGGUGUUACAUGCAAACUAACAUGAAGAUUUAGAGAGAGAAAGAGAAAGAGAGAGAGAGUUGGUGUCAGGGGGUGCAGCUUUUGCUUUUCAAUUCCUCUGUUUUAAAGAGUAUUCAAUUGGGUGGGAUUCAUGCUGACUCCUCAUGCUUUGUUGAGGUGUUGGUAUCAAUAAAGCGAAGGAAUAAAGAAAACCAAACAAAGAUCUCAUGAGAUGGAACACAAAUCUCUAGACCAUCUAGGGAUUCCCAUUCAUACUUUUAACAAAAAUUUAUACUUAAAAAAAAACUCAAAAUUGGGACUCUAAUGAAUGGCCAAACGCAGGGAAUGUUGGAUUCCAUAAUCCCUUUCCCUUUAUCUAUUUCUUUUUUAAAACAAAAAUUUUAAUUCAAACACAGUUUUCAAUGAGAAAUGGAUGAUUGAGCCAACAAGGAAUUUCAUCUUUUUCUCUCAUUAUUCUCUCUCUCUCUCUAUGGCUCGAUAUUUCCAUUUCCCUUGAAGAAAUGAUUUUGCUCCUGAGCCAAGUGGGUUUCCAUGAUGAAAGCAUGAGCCCCCCCUCUUCUUUUGUUUUGUGAAUGACAUCUGUGUGAAAAACCCAUCAAGAAUUUGAGACCAACCCAUCACCCAACCCACCAUUAAAACUCUUAAACAAGCUCUGACUGCUGCCCUGAAACUAACAAGCCUUUCUCUAUCUGCAAGUCUACCAAUAUGAAGAGAGAAGGUCUCUUCUUUUGGGUGGUUUUCUUCUUUUCAUGGGCUUCUUCCACUGCUUUGCUCUCUCCCAAAGGUGUUAAUUUUGAAGGUAAUUGAAUGUCUUUGGCUUCUGCAACUUGGGUUGCUUUCAUUUCUUACAAACUUUGAUUAGCACUCUGUUUUUUGGGAUAUUUAUUCCUAGCUUUCAAGCGUAAAUAUUUGAAUUGCUUUCUCUUGUUGGAAGUGGAUUUCUCUUCAGUUUCCUUUUCCGUUUACUGAUAUUUUUUUUUUUUAUGUAUUUAGUGCAAGCUUUGAUGGGUAUAAAACAAGCUCUUAAGGAUCCUUUGAGUGUUCUGGAGAACUGGGAUGGUGACUCUGUUGAUCCUUGUAGCUGGGCCAUGAUCACUUGCUCUCCUGAAAAUUUGGUUAUAGGACUGUAAGUUUCUUUCAAAACUCUCUCUUUUCCUGCUAAUCCUUUAUGAAAAUAUUUUGUUAUUCAAGAUGUCUGGAAACAGUCUCCAUAUGAAAGUCCAUAAUACUAUCUAGGACUGUUAAAAAUCUCUCUCUUUCUCUCUCGCUCAUUCUUUCUUAUUCAAAUUAAAUGGAGAUGGAUCUUUUCCUUCAAAAUAACUGGAUACAGUUUCCAAAUUGUUAUGGCACCUGAAGGAACUUUCAUAAUAACUGGAUACAGUUUCCAAAUUAAUGCUAUGGCACCUGAAUGAACUCUACUACUGUUGGAAAUUACUCUCUCUCUCUCUCUUCCAAAUAAAUAGAAAUAAAUCUCUUUCCUUGUAUUAAUUAUGAUGUGAUGCUGAAGAGUAGUCCACUGAACUGAAAGUACACUGCAAAAAUGGAAAGAACCAUUUUUCUUAAGAAACAAGUUGAAUUCUUCUGUAACUGAACUUACGUGCCCCAUAAAAAUCUUAAAGUUACUCAGAUUUCCUUAUUUAUUCUGUCCAUUAAAGAAUAGUAGUAUGGGCAGCUCCUGAUAAACUUCUCAGAUUCACUGUAAGAAUUAAAUGGAAUGAACCAUUGAUGAAGGUCUAAAGAGAGAGAGACUGUUUUUGGAUCACAGUGAUUGAAAAUGUUCCUUUUUGCUUCAAAUAUUUACGAUAUUGUAAUGUUUGCAGGGGAACCCCUGGCCAAAGCCUAUCUGGUACUCUCUCUCCAAGCAUUGGCAACUUGACCAAUCUUCAGAUAGUGUAAGUCCAAGAAGCAAAGUGUAUUGCUUUCAUUUUUUCUUCUUCCUUUUAAGAAAUCUCUGUAAUUUUGGUAAUAAGAUAAUCUUCUCUUUUUUUAUUUGCAGUUUGUUGCAGAACAACAACAUAUCAGGAUCAAUUCCUCACGAAAUUGGAAGGCUAUCUAUGCUUAAAACCCUGGAUCUUUCGAAUAAUCUCUUUGAUGAUUCGAUCCCAAAUUCAAUAGGCAAUUUGAAGAGCCUUGAAUAUUUGUAAGUAACAGAGAAAAUUGUUAUCUUUCUAAUUUUGAAUUUUACUUUCUAUAUUCAUAAAUCUAAAUUUGGUUAUGAAUUUGAAUGGAGAUCAGGAGGCUCAACAACAACAGUUUAUCGGGACCUUUCCCUUCGUCUCUGGCCAACAUUUCGGAGCUUGCUUUUCUGUAAUUCUCUUUACCCUCCCUCUCUUCUCUAAGCUUUUCUUCUGAGAACUUCACAGUUUUGAUUGUACUCUCUCUCUCUCUUCUUCUGUGAAAACUUCACACUGUUGAUUUACUCUCUCUCUCUCUAUGCUUUUCUUCUGUAAAAACUUCAGUCUCAAUUUUAAUAUCUCUCUCUCCCCCCUAAUUGCAUGAUGGAACUUGCCAGUUGGUUAACGUCUUUCUUGAUGUUGAGAUGCAGGGACUUAUCUUACAAUAAUUUAAGUGGACCAGUGCCCAAAUUUCCAGCUAGAACAUUCAAGUAAAGUCUCUUUAGCCUGCUUUUUGUCUUUUUUCCUGUUCUAGGUUUCUUUGUCUCUUUCAUUGGGUUAUUCUUCAAAUCUCUAACAAGAAUCAGAGUAUUGAAUUCUGUUUUUAAUGUUUUAAUUAUUCUUCGCCAUUUUUUGCAGCAUUGUUGGAAAUCCUCUGAUAUGUGGAAAUGGAGCAGAGAAAGAUUGUUCGGGAUCAAUUUCUCUUCCUCUCUCUUUCUCAGUGAAUGCAACACAGAGUGAGUAUCUUGAUCUUUUUGUUUCAUAAAAUUUCAUGGUCAGCUUAAAUUCUUGCUUUCUCUUUCUUGUUUCUUUCUUAUAGUUUAUAUCUGAUCUCCUUAACUCAAUUCCAACCUUCAAUUACUGUACAAUCUUCGGAUCUUUGGCCACCAUUUGUUUACCUUCCUCCUAUCUGAAAACUAUGAAUAUUUCCUUAUGACUCCCAUCUGUUUACAUUAUUUUGGGUUUUGUUUGAACUUCGCUACUGAGCUUUGUGGUUUCCUAUACCUGUGCUCCAUGUAAGUUAGUGUUCGCAAAAUUAAACCGGAACAGUUAACUGGACAUGGGGCCAAAAAAUUGUUGAAAAAAAUAAAAAAAAAAUGCAAAAAAAAAUCUACUAAUAUAUGAAAAGCAUAUGUAUAAUGGUUAAAAAAAAAUGCAUUCAAAGGAAGUUGAAAAUUAAUGAAAAAAAUGGAAUUUAAAAGUGAGUAUCAAUGACCAAAACAAUUUUUAAUAUUUACCAUAAUGUAUAUAAUAUUAAAAAAUAUUUUGCAAAUCAAAUUCCUUAUUUUUGGGAUUUUAUAUGCAUUUUUUUAAAUUUUUAUUUUUAAAAUACCAGCGGAUCACCAAAACGGCCCGAAACCGAAACCGGCAAGGGCCCAGUUCCGAUCUAACCAGGCGGUUACCGGUUAGAUCGCCUGGUUUUUCUAACAAUGGUGUAAGCUUCCAAAAUCCUGUAUUUUAUUUGUAAGUUUUAUUCAAUAGCAUCAUGUACCUUUUUCACAAGCAAUUCCACUUCACUGUUUUUUUUUCCUUGUGCUCUUCUUGUUUUACAAUUAUGUUGUGGAUCAAAUGCAUCAAGUGCUAAUUUUGUUAUCUCUCUCCUGCAGGUAAUCAACCCUCAGACAGACCCAAAAGCCACAGGGUGGCACUUGCAUUUGGCUUGAGUCUUGGUGGUAUCUGUCUCCUAAUCUUAGGAUUUGGGCUUCUCCUAUGGUGGAGACACAGGCAUAACCAGCAGAUCUUCUUCGACGUCAAUGGUACACACAUAAUCAGCUUGUCUCCGUGAGAGAGAGUGCACUUCUUAGUUCUUCCCGCGUACACCAAAACCUCAGUUCUUUCUCCAGAAAAUAAAAUAAAAUAAAAUAAAAUAAAAAGACCUACUUCUCAGUUCCUGUGUAGUUUCAUCAUAGAAGCAAAAAAGCAAUUCAAUGAUCUCCAUUUGAACUAACUUGGCCUCACUAUAUCUGGAAAUUCUUCAGACCAACAUGACGAAGAGGUCUGCCUUGGCAACCUGAAGAAAUUCCAAUUCAGAGAGCUCCAAGCUGCCACAAAUAAUUUCAGCUCCAAAAACAUUCUUGGAAAAGGUGGAUUUGGCAUUGUGUACAAAGGCUAUCUUCAAGAUGGCUCAGUGGUAGCUGUGAAAAGGCUUAAAGAUGGCAAUGCAAUUGGAGGAGAGAUUCAAUUUCAGACAGAGGUUGAGAUGAUAAGCUUAGCUGUUCACCGGAACCUCCUAAGGCUUCGUGGGUUUUGCAUGACCUCCAGUGAGAGGCUCCUGGUUUAUCCCUACAUGUCGAAUGGAAGUGUUGCAUCUCGACUCAGAGGUGAGAUUUUUCGAGUGUCACACUUGUUCUUCUCGUUUCUUGAAGUUCAUCUAAUUGAAAGGUUGGUUUGAUGGAGGUAGUAAGUUUUCAGCGACGUUUUUGGACUCGCCCGAGUCCACUCUGACUAGGGCGAGUAACUCGCCUUGCUCUACUGGCGUGGUGAGAGUUGGGGGCAUAUUGCGCGGCAACUUGCCUGGCUCCAUAAAAUUGCAAAAAGAAUACAAAAGCUAAAAAUAAAAGAAAAUUAGAAAACACGAAUAUGUUAGUUAGUGAUAUAUGGUUAUUUGAUUUUGAUAGUUUUUAAGAUGAUCUAGUAAAUUUAUAUUUUUUUUCCUUUUUUCUAAUUUUUUCUGAAAAAUUCAAUGUAUACAUAAGUUUUUCAAUAGUCUAUCCUUUAUAGAUUUUGUUCAUCUUCUUUAUUAUUCUAAUGCAAUCUAUUGCCUCUUUUAACUUUUAUUUUAUUUUUAACAAUUCUCAAACAAUUAUUUUAUUUUAUUGAUUUUUUACAAUUUUUUGCAUGAGCAUGACUCAGCCAGGUUACUCACCUUGGCCAAGGGGCGUGUCCCUUGGCCGAGCCGAUUUCCUAAACAUUAACAUUUUAGAGUUUAAAAGUGAGAGUAGAUGAACUCAAUCCCAAAGAACUGAAACAAAUUGUAUCACCUUUAUUCUUCUUUGAAGAUAAGUUAGAAUUAAAAGGUUUUCUCUAGUAGACAUUAUUUUCAAUCCCAAAAGGGAAAGCAUAACGUAUACCAUUGAUUCAUUGUAUAUGGUACAUGAGAUGGGGAUGCGCCAUCUGUUCUCAAUGAUCAAUGAUGGAGAUUAACCAGAUGAAUGUUCUGGAGGCUUGCUACUGCAAUAUUGCAUCCAUCAUUGCCAAUGGAUGUUACACAUCCAAUUGAUGUUCUGUAUACCAUACACCAUUGGUGGCUGUUAUACUUUCCAUCACAUAGAUAGUAUUCUUUGUCUGCAAGAGCAUUGUGGUCUCAUUUGUGCUCAAAUAAUUGCCUUAAUGAAUUUCAGGUGUUCUUAAUAUUUUAAUUGUUACAACAUUGUAUCUAAUGUUUGAUUCACUGUAUUUGUGGAUUUUGUUUUUUUUGGGUGGCGGAAGGGGUGUGUGUGUGUGAGAGAGAGAGAUGCAUGAACAAUAGUAGGCUCCUCUCAUCUUCAUGGGCAACUCAUCAAUCACUCACUCUUUUCAAAACAGCAAAACCUGCAUUAGACUGGGGUACAAGAAAGAGAAUAGCCCUUGGAGCUGCAAGAGGACUACUCUACCUACAUGAACAGUGCGAUCCAAAGAUUAUCCACAGAGAUGUGAAGGCUGCGAACAUACUCCUUGACGACUACUGUGAAGCCGUGGUCGGUGACUUUGGACUUGCAAAGCUCUUAGACCAUAGAGAUUCUCAUGUGACCACAGCAGUUAGGGGAACAGUUGGUCACAUAGCCCCUGAGUACCUCUCCACAGGCCAGUCCUCUGAGAAAACAGAUGUCUUUGGCUUUGGAAUCCUUCUUCUUGAGUUAAUCACAGGGCAAAAAGCACUCGAAUUUGGAAAGGCAGCGAAUCAGAAAGGAGCCAUGCUUGAUUGGGUGAGAAGAAUUUGCAGUUUAAAAAUUUAUUAUUUUUUCUAUAAUAAGUUUAUGAGUUAAGAUGAUUGAACUACUUUUGUUUGGAAUUUAUAUUUAUAUUUACAUUUAAGCAUGACUUAGUUUUUUAAAACAAUUCCCAAAAAUUUAAAGGCUGGUUCUUUGUACACAUUCUUUUGUUGAAAAUCUCACUGUUAUCUUUGCAAGAUCUUAGGAAAUGGAGAUUUUGACAUUAUUAUUAUUUUCCAUUCAAACUUUUCAUUAUCAACGUUUCCUUAUUUUAUUUUUUUCCCCCUCUGUUCAUCUUUAUUCAAAUGAAGAUGUAUGACAUUUACUGCUUUCCAAACACUUUUCCCCUUUUGCCUUGUUUUUCUUUCUUCAGUUUUAUAACAUAGCCCUUCAAAUGAAGGAGAAAACAAGAAAUGCAAAGCUAAUAUAAGUUUUGUAACAGGUGAAGAAAAUCCACCAAGAGAAGAAGCUCGAUCUACUGGUCGACAAGGAUUUAAAAAUCAAUUAUGAUCGUAUAGAGCUUGAAGAGAUGGUCCAAGUGGCUCUUUUGUGUACCCAAUAUCUACCUGGCCAUAGACCCAAAAUGUCAGAGGUUGUGAGAAUGUUAGAAGGAGAUGGACUUGCUGAGAGAUGGGAGGCAUCUCAAAGAUCUGAUACCUCAAAAUUCAGAGGCUCCGAUCUCUCUUCAGAGCGCUACUCUGAUCUCACCGAUGACUCCUCUUUACUUGCUCAAGCAAUGGAGCUCUCCGGCCCAAGAUGAAUACUUUCAAAUGCAUUAGUUUUGAUUUCCUAGCUGAAAAGUGCAUCUAUAUUCAUAGUUCUUUGAAUUGUUGGAGUUUUGGUGUAAGUGUAUAGAGAGAGAGAGAGAGAGAGAGAGAGAGAGAGAGAGAGAGAGAGAGAGAGAGAGAGAGGAGAGAGUGAGAGUAGUAGAGUAGUACGUACGUACGUACGUAGUAACGUAACGUUAACUUACUUACGUUACGUUACUUAAGUUAGUUAGUNNNNNNNNNNNNNNNNNNNNGUAGUACGUAGUAGUAGUACGUACGUAGUAGUAGUAGUAGUAGUAGUAUGUAGUAUAGUAGUAUAUAUAUAGUAUAUAUUAUUNNNNUAUAUAUGAGAGAGAGAGAGAGAGGUACAUGAGCUUGUAAGGGAGUGUGUUGAGUUCAGGUUGAAGCUCUGAAAAUUGGGGCAGGUUGAUCUGCUGAGGCUAGUUGGUGUUGUGCUAUAUUUCUUGCUUGGGUUUGUAAGAAUAAAUGUGAUGAUGGAAGCAGGUGGUCAUUUGUUUCCCUUUAUUGUGAUGGUGAUGUUGAAUCAUAAUUUCAAUUUGAAGCCAUGCAUCUUCUGUUUGAGUUGCUUUGGAUCUCCUUUCUCUCUCUCAGCUACAUUUUAUUUCCACAAGUGGCAGAUAGUAAAAGUUCGAAUAACUUGAGUUUGUGUAGCGCAACUUGCUCUUGGCUUGG